GUGGCUCAGUGGUUAGAGCACUGGUUGCCCUUCCAGAGGUCCUGAGUUCAAUUCCCAGC
Molecule: transfer RNA, 59 nt
Filed under: Rattus norvegicus (Norway rat)
Lineage: Eukaryota; Metazoa; Chordata; Mammalia; Rodentia; Muridae
Rfam family: tRNA
About the family: Transfer RNA (tRNA) molecules are approximately 80 nucleotides in length.
Source: Rfam by way of RNAcentral